RNAcentral lists this ribosomal RNA (800 nucleotides) under Maribacter sp. Its description in RNAcentral is "bacterial SSU rRNA". It matches the Rfam family "Bacterial small subunit ribosomal RNA", at positions 67 to 862 of the family's 1533-position model. The record is from RNAcentral. Lineage: Bacteria; Pseudomonadati; Bacteroidota; Flavobacteriia; Flavobacteriales; Flavobacteriaceae.
GGGUAACAGGGAGCUUGCUCCGCUGACGACCGGCGCACGGGUGCGCACCGCGUAUGGAACCUGCCUUUUACAGGGGAAUAGCCCAGGGAAACUUGGAUUAAUGCCCCGUGGCACCACGGCCCGGCAUCGGGAUGUGGUUAAAGCCUUCGGGCGGUAGAAGAUGGCCAUGCGUCCCAUUAGCUGGAUGGUAAGGUAACGGCUUACCAUGGCUACGAUGGGUAGGGGCCCUGAGAGGGGGAUCCCCCACACUGGUACUGAGACACGGACCAGACUCCUACGGGAGGCAGCAGUGAGGAAUAUUGGACAAUGGGCGAGGGCCUGAUCCAGCCAUGCCGCGUGCAGGAAGAAUGCCCUAUGGGUAGUAAACUGCUUUUAUACGGGAAGAAAAAGGGGCACGUGUGCCCCACUGACGGUACCGUAAGAAUAAGGACCGGCUAACUCCGUGCCAGCAGCCGCGGUAAUACGGAGGGUCCGAGCGUUAUCCGGAAUUAUUGGGUUUAAAGGGUCCGUAGGCGGGCCGGUAAGUCAGGGGUGAAAGUCUGUAGCUCAACUAUAGAAUUGCCUUUGAUACUGCCGGUCUUGAGUUAUGGUGAAGUUGCCGGAAUAUGUGGUGUAGCGGUGAAAUGCAUAGAUAUCACAUAGAACACCGAUUGCGAAGGCAGGUGACUAACCAUAUACUGACGCUGAUGGACGAAAGCGUGGGGAGCGAACAGGAUUAGAUACCCUGGUAGUCCACGCCGUAAACGAUGGAUACUAGCUGUCCGGGUCCUUGAGGCCUGGGCGGCCAAGCGAAAGUGAUA